Molecule: ribosomal RNA, 279 nt
Filed under: uncultured bacterium
Lineage: Bacteria
Description: partial 16S ribosomal RNA
Rfam family: Bacterial small subunit ribosomal RNA
Source: RNAcentral
UGCCAGCAGCCGCGGUAAUACGGAGGGGGCGAGCGUUGUUCGGAAUUACUGGGCGUAAAGGGCGCGUAGGCGGCCCUAUCAGUCAGGCGUGAAAGCCCCGGGCUCAACCUGGGAUGUGCGUUUGAUACUGUAGGGCUAGAGACCGGAAGAGGAUGGCGGAAUAUCCAGUGUAGAGGUGAAAUUCGUAGAUAUUGGAUGGAACACCAGUGGCGAAGGCGGCCAUCUGGUCCGGGUCUGACGCUGAGGCGCGAAAGCGUGGGGAGCAAACAGGAUUAGAUA